GACGAACGCUGGCGGCGUGCCUAAUACAUGCAAGUAGAACGCUGAAGGAGGAGCUUGCUUCUCUGGAUGAGUUGCGAACGGGUGAGUAACGCGUAGGUAACCUGCCUGGUAGCGGGGGAUAACUAUUGGAAACGAUAGCUAAUACCGCAUAAUAGCAGUUAUUGCAUGAUAACUGUUUGAAAGGUGCAAUUGCACCACUACCAGAUGGACCUGCGUUGUAUUAGCUAGUUGGUGGGGUAACGGCUCACCAAGGCGACGAUACAUAGCCGACCUGAGAGGGUGAUCGGCCACACUGGGACUGAGACACGGCCCAGACUCCUACGGGAGGCAGCAGUAGGGAAUCGUCGGCAAUGGACGGAAGUCUGACCGAGCAACGCCGCGUGAGUGAAGAAGGUUUUCGGAUCGUAAAGCUCUGUUGUAAGAGAAGAACGAGGGUGAGAGUGGAAAGUUCACACUGUGACGGUAUCUUACCAGAAAGGGACGGCUAACUACGUG
This 495-nucleotide ribosomal RNA is filed under the name uncultured bacterium. RNAcentral describes it as "partial 16S ribosomal RNA". It matches the Rfam family "Bacterial small subunit ribosomal RNA", at positions 28 to 507 of the family's 1533-position model. The record is from RNAcentral.